Long non-coding RNA from Rhincodon typus (whale shark), 630 nucleotides. RefSeq lists it as uncharacterized. The transcript is spliced from 2 exons. The record is from RefSeq and is a predicted model, not a curated record. NCBI's taxonomy places the organism in Eukaryota, Metazoa, Chordata, Chondrichthyes, Orectolobiformes, Rhincodontidae.
UCUGCAUUGAUUCCUGGUCCAUCAAGCCUUGGAUUUUAACAUUUUUUUUCUCUUGUGUUCAGAUCCUUCCAUGGCCUCAUCCCUGUCUUUAUCUCUAAAUUCCUAAGCUCACCAAGAACUCUGUGUUCCUCUUUAGAAUCUCACUGUCAUUCCCCGAUGAUGAUGACCUUGCCUUGAGCUGGAGCUCCUGGACUAUCACAAUUCUCUUCCAAUGGAUUUAUAUGGACAUCAGGCUUUCCUCUUUCAUCGCAUUUGCCUGGACUGUUCAGGGUUUUGCAGAUAUUAUACUAUAACCAGACUAUUACCUUGUACAAAAGGUUUUUUGCGCUCUCCAGGAACCUGAACUGCAAAGAGAACACAGAAAACAACCAACUUCAUCUUCAAAAUAAAGAACAAAGUAAUAAGGAUGAUGGUUGCAGUCAGGAAAGUGACAACUUUCCACCAAUCCCCCCUACCUGGUGCUGUAUGAAAGGAUGCCAUAACUGUGUAUGGAUUUCGUACGCAGAGGAAAUGACACAGUACUACCAGAACGGAGAUCAAAAAGCUCUCGAGGAUAUUGAUAAAUAUGUUGAUGAUGAGAAUCUUAAAGCUUUCAUUAAAAUGGAAAUAAAAUUAAGGCAAAAGAAAUAA